GUCUAUGGUUACACCACCCUAAACAUGCUCAGACUUACCUGAUUUUGGAAGUUAAGCAGGUUGGUCCUGGUUAGUACUCUGGACAGGAGACUGCAUAAACU
Molecule: ribosomal RNA, 101 nt
Filed under: Jaculus jaculus (lesser Egyptian jerboa)
Lineage: Eukaryota; Metazoa; Chordata; Mammalia; Rodentia; Dipodidae
Source: RNAcentral